RNAcentral lists this long non-coding RNA (1433 nucleotides) under Homo sapiens (human). RNAcentral's name for it is "non-protein coding LINC01278:27". Lineage: Eukaryota; Metazoa; Chordata; Mammalia; Primates; Hominidae. The record is from RNAcentral.
GCUAGGUUCCGGAACCUGACCUGAGCUGGGGCCUGUGCUUCCAGCGGGUGGUGGGGGGCCUGGUGUGCUGGCAUCAAGUAAGCCGACUACCUCGGCAAAGGCUUAGGGACAAGAGACCAGCAGCCUGAACUGGCUGGGGCAUCCGGAAGGCUUAGAUCUUGUGGCCAAGAGUUCAGACCGUGGCGAAGUGGAGAGUGACAUGCAGUUGGAUGGCGGUGACUGCGUGCUCAGAGUAGUUUGAUCGUCUGAAGCCUUCUUCUCUCAACUCGUCAAAGUCAUUCUCCGUCCAGCUUUGUUCCGUUACUGGUGAGGAGCUGCGUUCCUUUGGAGGAGGAGAGGUACUCUGAUUUUUAGAGUUUCCAGUUUUUCUGCUCUGUUUUUUCCCAUCUGUGUGGUUUUAUCUACUUUUGGUCUUUGAUGAUGGUGGUGUACAGAUGGGUUUUUGGUGUGGAUGUCCUUUCUCUUUGUUAGUUUUCCUUCUAACAGACAGGACCCUCAGCUGCAGGUCUGUUGGAGUUUGCUAGAGGUCCACUCCAGACCCUGUUUGCCUGGGUACCAGCAGCAGUGGCUGCAGAACAGCGGAUUUUCGUGAACUGCUAAUGCUGCUGUCUGAUCGUUCCUCUGGAUGUUUUGUCUCAGAGGAGUACCCGGCCGCGUGAGGUGUCAGUCUGCCCCUACUGGGGGGUGCCUCCCAGUUAGGCUGCUCAGGGGUCAGGGGUCAGGGUCCCACUUGAGGAGGCAGUCUGCCCAUUCUCAGAUCUCCAGCUGCUUGCUGGGAGAACCACUGCUGUCUUCAAAGCUGUCAGACAGGGACAUUUAAGUCUGCAGAGGUUACUGCUGUCUUUUUGUUUGUCUGUGCCCUGCCCCCAGAGGUGGAGCCUACAGAGGCAGGCAGGCCUCCUUGAGCUGUGGUGGGCUCCACCCAGUUGCAGCUUCCUGCCUGCUUUGUUUACCUAAGCAAGCCUGGGCAAUGGCGGGCGCCCCUCCCCCAGCCUCACUGCCGCCUUGCAGUUUGAUCUCAGACUGCUGUGCUAGCAAUCAGCGAGACUCCGUGGGCAUAGGACCCUCCGAGCCAGGUGCAGGAUAGAAUCUCCUGGUGCGCCGUUUUUUAAGCCCGUCGGAAAAGCACUGUAUUAGGGUGGGGGUGACCCGAUUUUCCAGGUGCCCUCUGUCACCCCUUUCUUUGAGUAGGAAAGGGAACUCCCUGACCCCUUGCACUUCCCGAGUGGAGGCAAUGCCUCACCCUGCCUCUGCUCGCGCAUGGUGUGCUGCACCCGCUGUCCUGCACCCACUGUCUGGCACUCCCUAGUGAGAUGAACCCGGUACCUCAGAUGGAAAUGCAGAAAUCACCCAUCUUCUGCGUUGCUCAUGCUGGGAGCUGUAGACAUAGGGAUGUUUUAAAGUACUUGAAUUUACUGUUAACAUGAGCACCG